Long non-coding RNA from Etheostoma spectabile (orangethroat darter), 106 nucleotides. RefSeq lists it as uncharacterized. The transcript is spliced from 3 exons. The record is from RefSeq and is a predicted model, not a curated record. NCBI's taxonomy places the organism in Eukaryota, Metazoa, Chordata, Actinopteri, Perciformes, Percidae.
CAGGAUUCAUUAACCCGUUCAACUGAUGACCAUUUAAACUCUGACUAACUUUAGUUGAUAAACAGCUGACGUGUAGCUUUGUGUCUGUUGAUACAAUAAACUUUCU